This is a long non-coding RNA of Oryzias melastigma (Indian medaka), 924 nucleotides long. RefSeq lists it as uncharacterized. NCBI's taxonomy places the organism in Eukaryota, Metazoa, Chordata, Actinopteri, Beloniformes, Adrianichthyidae. The record is from RefSeq and is a predicted model, not a curated record. The transcript is spliced from 3 exons.
ACUAGCUAUAGCUAGCGUUAGCCGUCACGUAGCUACGCUUGUUGUUGUGAUCAAGGGGGAGGAACGGCUUCCCGGUAGGCUACCAGAGGACUGUCAGACGCUUUUCCCUUCAGAAUGGGCGCCGUAUCGUCAUGGCUAAAAACAGGCACAGCUUCAGUUUUAAAGUAAAGUGAUGAAUGAUCCAGCUCCACAAAGUAGUGCUCCACCUGCACAGCCUCUGUCAUCUCCUCAUGAAGCUGAUUGACCAGAGGAUCUGUUGCUGAAUUAAGAGAAGAGGAAGAAAAAUCAUGGGGAGUGGAGUUCCAGCUUAAUGCCGGAUAGUGAGAGGAACUCCGUGUUCAGAAGGAGGAAGUCCGACCUCUGCGUGUGAAUGUUCCUGCGCAGACAGCCGUCUCUGAGGUCGCUGAUGUAAAAGCAGAACAAAGUGUCCUUGUCUGGCGUCUGCUAGCAUGUGGUGUGUUUUUAAGUGGGUUCAGGAGUGAGACAAAACGCGUGCCUGCUCGCAUAAGGAGCACAACCCUACUCCUACUAAUUACCGCCGUGUCACAGGCCUCUGGCGCUACCUGUGUGUAAAUGGGGGUCUGGCUGCAGGUUAAGUGCUGAAGUCUGUUAUCUGUCAGCACGGAUGUGUUUCGGUGGAAAUCCUCUCAACCUUCCGUCAGCCAGCCUGCAGAAGACAAACGAUUACUCCGAGCUGGUCGGACUAGUUUUCAGGCAAAGCUUGAAUGGUUUUGGUUUUCUGUUUGAUCCAGACUGGUUUGACAAACCUCCCUGUUCAAGGUUCAAGGUUUCAUGGAAUCAGGAAAAUGCACAGAAUGUGACAGAUGGAGUUUGAAAAAUGUCUCAGGAAAUUAUAAAACAAAAUGGUCAUCUGGACGUCAAACAUCUGGACAUCAGAUUGUCUAUGAAGUGUGUAAAGAUCUU